RNAcentral lists this long non-coding RNA (782 nucleotides) under Nicotiana tabacum (common tobacco). Its description in RNAcentral is "long non-coding RNA (NTAB_LNC010271)". The record is from RNAcentral. Lineage: Eukaryota; Viridiplantae; Streptophyta; Magnoliopsida; Solanales; Solanaceae.
AGCAGAGCGCAAUACAUAGUUCAUACCAUCUUCUGCAUUUUCAUACCAUAUCACAAUUAAGCUGCAUGAGUACAGAAGUUUGUAAAACAGUAAAGAGUCAUCCCUAAGUCUAUGAAAAUACUCACUUUUUUGUUGCUAUGAAAAUACAUAUUGUUAUAUGACCAAGAUGACAAGUUGGUAGUCGAUAUUUCAAAUGACCUCAGGACACAUCAUAUAGUAACAAGUUGGUUACAAGACAAUGCUACCAUUAAAUGGAGUUCAAAUAGAAACAACAAAAGGAUGUGGAUGGAGAAGGCACAUUACAGACAAAACUAGAUACAACUGCAGUUACAAUAUUCCUAGAGGUCACUGACAAAACAUUACAACCAGAAGGUAAAGGUAACAUAUUGAAAUGUAAUCUUCAAAUCCUAUCAUCUACCCUCUUCUUUUCUGGUACUGUGAAUAUGCAAGUCACAGAAAAAUAAGGGUAAAAAUACCAUCCAUAAGAGAAGCCGCUACCCACUGCAUUUCUCCAACGAACUGCAGGUAAGAUGAUGACAAAGGUUGUUGAUCUUAGCUAGGCACGCAUCUCUUGACAUGUUGCAGAACAUAUUUAGUACCUGAAUUCUACCAAGUGGUUGUCAAAAAUCAGAAAAGAUCUUAAGCAAUAGCUUCACUAUUCUGAAAUGGAAGUAUCUCCUGGACUUUGUGAGCUCUGACCCUCUUUACCCUGCAAUUGAAGAAAUAUGAUUUAUUCCUGAAGAUUAUUAAAACUUACAAACAGUAACGCCUGAUCAACUCAG